GGUGAACGCUGGCGGCGUGCCUAAUACAUGCAAGUCGAGCGAACGGACGAGAAGCUUGCUUCUCUGAUGUUAGCGGCGGACGGGUGAGUAACACGUGGAUAACCUACCUAUAAGACUGGGAUAACUUCGGGAAACCGGAGCUAAGACCGGAUAAUAUUUUGAACCGCAUGGUUCAAAAGUGAAAGAAGGUCUUGCUGUCACUUAUAGAUGGAUCCGCGCUGCAUUAGCUAGUUGGUAAGGUAACGGCUUACCAAGGCAACGAUGCAUAGCCGCCCUGAGAGGGUGAUCGGCCACACUGUAACUGAGACACGGUCCACACUCCUACGGGAGGCAGCAGUAGGGAAUCUUCCGCAAUGGGCGAAAGCCUGACGGAGCAACGCCGCGUGAGUGAUGAAGGUCUUCGGAUCGUAAAACUAUGUUAUUAGGGAAGAACAUAUGUGUAAGUAACUGUGCACAUCUUGACGGUACCUAAUCAGAAAGCCACGGCUAACUACGUG
RNAcentral lists this ribosomal RNA (497 nucleotides) under uncultured bacterium. RNAcentral's name for it is "partial 16S ribosomal RNA". It matches the Rfam family "Bacterial small subunit ribosomal RNA", at positions 28 to 507 of the family's 1533-position model. The record is from RNAcentral.